This 766-nucleotide long non-coding RNA is filed under the name Cricetulus griseus (Chinese hamster). RNAcentral's name for it is "lncRNA (ENSCGRG00015039509.1)". Lineage: Eukaryota; Metazoa; Chordata; Mammalia; Rodentia; Cricetidae. The record is from RNAcentral.
AAAAUAGAAGGCAUGGGAAUGCCAUGGUCCCCAAGACACUGAAGCAACUACUUGGCUUUUUCAGUUUUGUUUUGUUUUGUUUUGUUUUUUGUAGACUAAUAUCAUAAGAUACCACAGUAUCAAAUGUGGAGAAUGGGUGGGAGUCUUGCAGGGGUAACAGAGUGAAGAUCAAGUUUAGACUGAUUUUUCCCCCUCAAAGGUUUUUCCUUUUUCUCUCUAGUGACAUAAAUUUUCAUUUUGUGCAAAGUGGGGAAGAAUGAAGUUGGCAGGAGAUUAUCAAUUUUGGAAUUAAGAAUUCACCUGUCUUAGGAGCUAAUAGAAAAGAUGGUGGCUUAAAUGCAAUGCCAAUAACACGUAAAAUAAUUAAUAAACUAAGAAAAGAAGGGGAUUGACUAACUUUCUCAAGAUAUUGACGAAUCAGCAGGCAGCAUCAUACCUCACGAUGAAGGACUAAAGAUGAUUCUCCUAAAACCACAAUCAAAGAAAAGCCUACCAAGAGGUGAGAAGCUUUGCUCCUCUGGGUACUGUCACUAAGUGGAUCUUCUUCAACCCCAGCUGGGUCAAACAAGUACACAUUGCCAUCCUGGAAACAGUGACACACACACACACAACACACACACACACACACACACACACACACACACACACACACACACACACACACACUACCCAUGUGCUCUGUGUAAAUUAGGUUGUCCUUCAGGACUGUUCUGUAUUCUGCUUUCCAUUCCCUAAAAGAAAUAUACUUUCCUUUUGUUUGACUCAG